AAUGGGGGAAACCCUGACGCAGCAACGCCGCGUGAGUGAGGAAGGCCUUCGGGUUGUAAAGCUCUGUCAGAUGGGAAGAACGUAGUAGGUCUAAUAGGCCUAUUGCCUGACGGUACCAUCAAAGGAAGCACCGGCUAACUUCGUGCCAGCAGCCGCGGUAAUACGAAGGGUGCAAGCGUUAUUCGGAUUUACUGGGCGUAAAGCGCGCGCAGGCGGAUUGGUAAGUCAGAUGUGAAAUCUCGGGGCUCAACCUCGAAACUGCGUCUGAAACUACUAAUCUAGAGUCUUGGAGGGGGAAGUGGAAUUUCGCAUGUAUGGGUAAAAUCCGUAGAGAUGCGAAGGAACACCAGUGGCGAAGGCGACUUCCUGGACAAGUACUGACGCUGAGGCGCGAAAGCGUGGGGAGCAAACAGGAUU
RNAcentral lists this ribosomal RNA (417 nucleotides) under uncultured delta proteobacterium. RNAcentral describes it as "bacterial SSU rRNA". It matches the Rfam family "Bacterial small subunit ribosomal RNA", at positions 370 to 779 of the family's 1533-position model. Lineage: Bacteria; Deltaproteobacteria. The record is from RNAcentral.